ACAUGCAAGUCGAACGAAGAAGGUUACCUUUUUAGCUUCCGCAGGAUUUCUUUCCAUCUUAGUGGCGGACGGGUGAGUAACGUGUGGGCAACCUGCCCUGUACUGGGGAAUAAUCAUUGGAAACGAUGACUAAUACCGCAUGUGGCCCUCGGAAGGCAUCUUCUGAGGAAGAAAGGAUUUAUUCGGUACAGGAUGGGCCCGCAUCUGAUUAGCUAGUUGGCGAGACAACAGCCCACCAAGGCGACGAUCAGUAGCCGACCUGACAGGGUGAUCGGCCACAUUGGGACUGACACACGGCCCAAACUCCUACGGGAGGCAGCAGUGGGGAAUAUUGCACAAUGGGCGAAAGCCUGAUGCAGCAACGCCGCGUGAAGGAUGAAGGGUUUCUGCUCGUAAACUUCUAUCAAUAGGGAAGAAACAAAUGACGGUACCUAAAUAAGAAGCCCCGGCUAACUACGUGCCAGCAGCCGCGGUAAUACGUAGGGGGCAAGCGUUAUCCGGAAUUACUGGGUGUAAAGGGAGCGGAGGCGGCAUGGUAAGCCAGAUGUGAAAGCCUUGGGCUUAACCCGAGGAUUGCAUUUGGAACUAUCAAGCUAGAGUACAGGAGAGGAAAGCGGAAUUCCUAGUGUAGCGGUGAAAUGCGUAGAUAUUAGGAAGAACACCAGAGGCGAAGGCGGCUUUCUGGACUGAAACUGACGCUGAGGCUCCGAAGCGGGGGGAGCAAAACAAGAUUAAAUACCCUGGUAAUCCACCCCGUAAACGAUGAGUGCUAGGUGCCGGGGAGGAAUCCUCGGUCCGGCAGCUAACGCAAUAAGCACUCCACCUGGGGAGUACGACCGCAAGGUUGAAACUCAAAGGAAUUGACGGGGGCCCGCACAAGCGGUGGAGCAUGUGGUUUAAUUCGAAGCAACGCGAAGAACCUUACCAAGGCUUGACAUCCCGAUGACCGCUCUAGAGAUAGAGCUUCUCUUCGGAGCAUCGGUGACAGGUGGUGCAUGGUUGUCGUCAGCUCGUGUCGUGAGAUGUUGGGUUAAGUCCCGCAACGAGCGCAACCCUUAUCUUCAGUAGCCAUCAUUCAGUUGGGCACUCUGGAGAGACUGCCGUGGAUAACACGGAGGAAGGUGGGGAUGACGUCAAAUCAUCAUGCCCCUUAUGUCUUGGGCUACACACGUGCUACAAUGGCUGGCAACAAAGUGACACAAGACGGCGACGUUAAGCAAAUCACAAAAACCCAGUCCCAGUUCGGAUUGUAGUCUGCAACUCGACUACAUGAAGCUGGAAUCGCUAGUAAUCGCGAAUCAGCAUGUCGCGGUGAAUACGUUCCCGGGCCUUGUACACACCGCCCGUCACACCAUGGGAGUUGGAAGCACCCGAAGUCGGUGACCUAACCGAAAGGAAGGAGCCGCCGAAGGUGAAGCCAGUGACUGGGGUGAA
Molecule: ribosomal RNA, 1434 nt
Filed under: uncultured organism
Description: SSU rRNA
Rfam family: Bacterial small subunit ribosomal RNA
Source: RNAcentral